Molecule: ribosomal RNA, 484 nt
Filed under: uncultured bacterium
Lineage: Bacteria
Description: partial 16S ribosomal RNA
Rfam family: Bacterial small subunit ribosomal RNA
Source: RNAcentral
GAUGAACGCUGGCGGCGUGCUUAACACAUGCAAGUCGAACGGUGAAGCAGGAGCUUGCUCUUGUGGAUCAGUGGCGAACGGGUGAGUAACACGUGAGCAACCUGCCCCUGACUCUGGGAUAAGCGCUGGAAACGGCGCCUAAUACUGGAUAUGUGAUGUGACCGCAUGGUCUGCAUCUGGAAAGAAUUUCGGUUGGGGAUGGGCUCGCGGCCUAUCAGCUUGUUGGUGAGGUAAUGGCUCACCAAGGCGUCGGCGGGUAGCCGGCCUGAGAGGGUGACCGGCCAAACUGGGACUGAGACACGGCCCAGACUCCUACGGGAGGCAGCAGUGGGGAAUAUUGCACAAUGGGCGGAAGCCUGAUGCAGCAACGCCGCGUGAGGGAUGACGGCCUUCGGGUUGUAAACCUCUUUUAGCAGGGAAGAAGCGAAAGUGACGGUACCUGCAGAAAAAGCACCGGCUAACUACGUGCCAGCCGCCGCAGUAA